RNAcentral lists this ribosomal RNA (762 nucleotides) under uncultured Pseudomonas sp. Its description in RNAcentral is "bacterial SSU rRNA". It matches the Rfam family "Bacterial small subunit ribosomal RNA", at positions 42 to 799 of the family's 1533-position model. The record is from RNAcentral. Lineage: Bacteria; Pseudomonadati; Pseudomonadota; Gammaproteobacteria; Pseudomonadales; Pseudomonadaceae.
GCAGGCCUAACACAUGCAAGUCGAGCGGAUGAGUGGAGCUUGCUCCAUGAUUCAGCGGCGGACGGGUGAGUAAUGCCUAGGAAUCUGCCUGGUAGUGGGGGAUAACGUUUCGAAAGGAACGCUAAUACCGCAUACUUCCUACGGGAGAAAGUGGGGGAUCUUCGGACCUCACGCUAUCAGAUGAGCCUAGGUCGGAUUAUCUAGUUGGUGGGGUAAUGGCCCACCAAGGCGACGAUCCGUAACUGGUCUGAGAGGAUGAUCAGUCACACUGGAACUGAGACACGGUCCAGACUCCUACGGGAGGCAGCAGUGGGGAAUAUUGGACGAUGGGCGAAAGCCUGAUCCAGCCAUGCCGCGUGUGUGAAGAAGGUCUUCGGAUUGUAAAGCACUUUAAGUUGGGAGGAAGGGCAGUAAGUUAAUACCUUGCUGUUUUGACGUUACCAACAGAAUAAGCACCGGCUAACUUCGUGCCAGCAGCCGCGGUAAUACGAAGGGUGCAAGCGUUAAUCGGAAUUACUGGGCGUAAAGCGCGCGUAGGUGGUUCAGCAAGUUGGAUGUGAAAGCCCCGGGCUCAACCUGGGAAUUGCAUCCAAAACUACUGAGCUAGAGUACGGUAGAGGGUGGUGGAAUUUCCUGUGUAGCGGUGAAAUGCGUAGAUAUAGGAAGGAACACCAGUGGCGAAGGCGACCACCUGCACUGAUACUGACACUGAGGUGCGAAAGCGUGGGGAGCAAACAGGAUUAGAUACGCUGGUAGUCCACG